Molecule: ribosomal RNA, 875 nt
Filed under: uncultured euryarchaeote
Lineage: Archaea; Methanobacteriati; Methanobacteriota
Description: bacterial SSU rRNA
Rfam family: Archaeal small subunit ribosomal RNA
Source: RNAcentral
AGUCACUGCUAUUGGGAUUCGACUAAGCCAUGCGAGUCGAGAGGGUUCGGCCCUCGGCAGACGGCUCAGUAACACGUGGAUAAUCUGCCCUUAGGUGGAGGAUAACCUCGGGAAACUGAGAAUAAUACUCCAUAGAUCUAGGAUGCUGGAAUGCAUCUAGGUUGAAAGUUCCGGCGCCUAAGGAUGAGUCUGCGGACUAUCAGGCUGUAGUCAGGGUAAAGACCUGACUAACCUACGACGGAUACGGGUUGUGAGAGCAAUAACCCGGAGACGAUAUCUGAGACACGAUACCGGGCCCUACGGGGCGCAGCAGGCGCGAAACCUUCACACUGUGCGAAAGCGCGAUGAGGGGAUCCAAGUGCUUGCACGUAAGUGUAAGCUGUUUCUGUGUCUAAAAAGCAUAGAGAGUAAGGGCUGGGUAAGACGGGUGCCAGCCGCCGUGGUAAUACCUGCAGCUCAAGUGGUGACCGCUACAUUGGGCCUAAAACGUCCGUAGCCGGUUUAGUAAAUGCCUGGGUAAAUCGUGUAGCUUAACUAUACGAAUUCCGGGUAGACUGCUAAACUUGAGACCGGGAGAGGCUAGAGGUACUUCUGGGGUAGAGGUGAAAUUCUGUAAUCCUAGGGGGACCACCAGUGGCGAAGGCGUCUAGCUAGAACGGGUCUGACGGUGAGGGACGAAGCCCUGGGGCGCAAACCGGAUUAGACACCCGGGUAGUCCAGGGUGUAAACGCUGCUUGCUUGAUGUUAGUCGGGCUCUGAGCCCGAUUAGUGUCGGAGAGAGGUUGUUAAGCAAGCUGCCUGGGAAGUACGGUCGCAAGGCUGAAACUUAAAGGAAUUGGCGGGGGAGCACAGCAACGGGUGGAGCGUGCGGUUUA